Molecule: ribosomal RNA, 376 nt
Filed under: uncultured marine eukaryote
Lineage: Eukaryota
Description: SSU rRNA
Rfam family: Eukaryotic small subunit ribosomal RNA
Source: RNAcentral
AACCUGGUUGAUCCUGCCAGUAGUCAUAUGCUUGUCUCAAAGACUAAGCCAUGCAUGUCUAAGUAUAAGUAUUAUACAGCGAAACUGCGAAUGGCUCAUUGAAACAGUUAUAAUUUAUUUGAUAAUCGAAUUUACAUGGAUAACCGUGGUAAUUCUAGAGCUAAUACAUGCUGGUAGGCCCGACUUUUUGGUAGGGCGGUAUUUAUCAGAUAACAAACCAAUAUUCCUCUGGUCUAUUGUGGUGAAUCAUAAUAACUGAUCGAAUCGCAAGGUUUUUAACCGCGAUAAGUCAUUCAAGUUUCUGCCCCAUCAGCUUUCGAUGGUAGUGUAUUGGACUACCAUGGCUUUUACGGGUAACGGAGGAUUAGGGUUCGAU